AGUCAUCAACCCCUCCUGUUCUGUGCGGGAGCUGGGUUGGAGCUUGGGGGCCUGCGUCCGCGAGGUCGCUCCCCUGAAAUGCUUCGGUUUGGGCCUGCGGGCCGGACUCGGUUGGGCGUUGUACCAUCCUCGCUCGCAAAGUCCCCUGCAAACAGUUGCCCGCUGCUGACCGCCCCUCUGUGUGGUGGCCAAAACACUUUCUGUG
Molecule: unclassified non-coding RNA, 205 nt
Filed under: uncultured Trechisporales
Lineage: Eukaryota; Fungi; Basidiomycota; Agaricomycetes; Trechisporales
Description: sequence contains ITS2
Source: RNAcentral